This 345-nucleotide unclassified non-coding RNA is filed under the name soil metagenome. RNAcentral describes it as "partial contains 5.8S ribosomal RNA, internal transcribed spacer 2, and large subunit ribosomal RNA". The stretch from base 1 to 120 matches the Rfam family "5.8S ribosomal RNA", at positions 35 to 154 of the family's 154-position model. The record is from RNAcentral.
GAUGAAGAACGUAGCGAAAUGCGAUACGUAAUGUGAAUUGCAGAAUUCAGUGAAUCAUCGAGUCUUUGAACGCACAUUGCGCCCCCUGGUAUUCCGGGGGGCAUGCCUGUCCGAGCGUCAUUGCUGCCCUCAAGCACGGCUUGUGUGUUGGGCCUCCGUCCUCCUCCCGGGGGACGGGCCCGAAAGGCAGCGGCGGCACCGCGUCCGGUCCUCGAGCGUAUGGGGCUUCGUCACCCGCUCUUGUAGGCCCGGCCGGCGCUUGCCGACACAUCAAUCUUUUUUCCAGGUUGACCUCGGAUCAGGUAGGGAUACCCGCUGAACUUAUGCAUAUCAAUAAGCGGAGGA